RNAcentral lists this ribosomal RNA (450 nucleotides) under uncultured bacterium. Its description in RNAcentral is "bacterial SSU rRNA". It matches the Rfam family "Bacterial small subunit ribosomal RNA", at positions 354 to 796 of the family's 1533-position model. The record is from RNAcentral.
GUGGGGAAUUUUGGACAAUGGGGGCAACCCUGAUCCAGCCAUGCCGCGUGAGUGAAGAAGGCCUUCGGGUUGUAAAGCUCUUUCGGACGGAAAGAAAUUGCCAUCUCUAACAUAGGUGGUAGAUGACGGUACCGUAAGAAGAAGCACCGGCUAACUACGUGCCAGCAGCCGCGGUAAUACGUAGGGUGCGAGCGUUAAUCGGAAUUACUGGGCGUAAAGCGUGCGCAGGCGGUUUUAUAAGACAGGUGUGAAAUCCCCGGGCUUAACCUGGGAACUGCAUUUGUGACUGUAAGGCUAGAGUGCGGCAGAGGGGGGUAGAAUUCCGCGUGUAGCAGUGAAAUGCGUAGAUAUGCGGAGGAAUACCGAUGGCGAAGGCAGCCCCCUGGGUCGACACUGACGCUCAUGCACGAAAGCGUGGGGAGCAAACAGGAUUAGAUACCCCAGUAGUCC